RNAcentral lists this small nucleolar RNA (49 nucleotides) under Pyrobaculum oguniense TE7. RNAcentral's name for it is "POGsR09". Lineage: Archaea; Thermoproteati; Thermoproteota; Thermoprotei; Thermoproteales; Thermoproteaceae. The record is from RNAcentral.
GUCGAUGACAUGGGAACAGCAGACUUGUGAAGAUGGCUUGAUUAGCUGA